RNAcentral lists this ribosomal RNA (468 nucleotides) under uncultured bacterium. Its description in RNAcentral is "partial 16S ribosomal RNA". It matches the Rfam family "Bacterial small subunit ribosomal RNA", at positions 28 to 507 of the family's 1533-position model. The record is from RNAcentral.
GACGAACGCUGGCGGCGUGCUUAACACAUGCAAGUCGAACGGAAAGGCCCUGCUUUUGUGGGUUGCUCGAGUGGCGAACGGGUGAGUAACACGUGAGUAACCUGCCCUUGACUUUGGGAUAACUUCAGGAAACUGGGGCUAAUACCGGAUAGGAGCUCCUGCUGCAUGGUGGGGGUUGGAAAGUUUCGGCGGUUGGGGAUGGACUCGCGGCUUAUCAGCUUGUUGGUGGGGUAGUGGCUUACCAAGGCUUUGACGGGUAGCCGGCCUGAGAGGGUGACCGGCCACAUUGGGACUGAGAUACGGCACAGACUCCUACGGGAGGCAGAAGUGGGGAAUAUUGCACAAUGGGCGGAAGCCUGAUGCAGCAACGCCGCGUGCGGGAUGACGGCCUUAGGGUUGUAAACCGCUUUCGCCUGUGACGAAGCGUGAGUGACGGUAAUGGGUAAAGAAGCACCGGCUAACUACGUG